RNAcentral lists this ribosomal RNA (253 nucleotides) under uncultured bacterium. RNAcentral's name for it is "partial 16S ribosomal RNA". It matches the Rfam family "Bacterial small subunit ribosomal RNA", at positions 524 to 776 of the family's 1533-position model. The record is from RNAcentral.
CACGUAGGGCGCAAGCGUUGUCCGGAAUUAUUGGGCGUAAAGAGCUCGUAGGUGGUUUGUUACGUCUGCUGUGAAAAUCUAGGGCUUAACCCUGGGCUUGCAGUGGAUACGGGCAGACUAGAGGUAGGUAGGGGAGAAUGGAAUUCCUGGUGUAGCGGUGAAAUGCGCAGAUAUCAGGAGGAACACCGGUGGCGAAGGCGGUUCUCUGGGCCUUACCUGACACUGAGGAGCGAAAGCGUGGGGAGCGAAUAGG